GACGAACGCUGGCGGCGUGCUUAACACAUGCAAGUCGAGCGGUAAGGCCCUUUCGGGGUACACGAGCGGCGAACGGGUGAGUAACACGUGGGUGACCUGCCCUCAGCUCUGGGAUAAGCCUGGGAAACCGGGUCUAAUACUGGAUAUGACUCCAUGACGCAUGUUGUGGGGUGGAAAGCCUUGUGCGGCUGAGGAUGGGCCCGCGGCCUAUCAGCUUGUUGGUGGGGUGANGGCCUACCAAGGCGACGACGGGUAGCCGGCCUGAGAGGCGACCGGCCACACUGGGACUGAGACACGGCCCAGACUCCUACGGGAGGCAGCAGUGGGGAAUCUUGCGCAAUGGGCGAAAGCCUGACGCAGCGACGCCGCGUGAGGGAUGACGGCCU
This 386-nucleotide ribosomal RNA is filed under the name uncultured bacterium. Its description in RNAcentral is "bacterial SSU rRNA". It matches the Rfam family "Bacterial small subunit ribosomal RNA", at positions 28 to 417 of the family's 1533-position model. The record is from RNAcentral.